RNAcentral lists this ribosomal RNA (229 nucleotides) under uncultured bacterium. Its description in RNAcentral is "partial 16S ribosomal RNA". It matches the Rfam family "Bacterial small subunit ribosomal RNA", at positions 568 to 796 of the family's 1533-position model. The record is from RNAcentral.
UCCGUAGGUGGAUAAUUAAGUCAGAGGUGAAAUCCCACAGCUCAACUGUGGAACUGCCUUUGAUACUGGUCGUCUUGAGUUACAGUGAAGUAGAUAGAAUAUGUAGUGUAGCGGUGAAAUGCAUAGAUAUUACAUAGAAUACCGAUUGCGAAGGCAGUCUACUAACUGUCGACUGACGCUAAGGGACGAAAGCGUGGGGAGCGAACAGGAUUAGAUACCCUGGUAGUCC